RNAcentral lists this ribosomal RNA (440 nucleotides) under uncultured bacterium. Its description in RNAcentral is "partial 16S ribosomal RNA". It matches the Rfam family "Bacterial small subunit ribosomal RNA", at positions 338 to 795 of the family's 1533-position model. The record is from RNAcentral.
GCUACGGGGGGCAGCAGUGGGGAAUAUUGCACAAUGGGGGAAACCCUGAUGCCUCUCCCACGCUUUCUUUCCUCCUUCUCUCUUUCCUUCCCUCUCUCUCCUCCUUUAAUAUAAUGACGGUACCUGACCAAGAAGCCCCGGCUAACUACGUGCCAGCAGCCGCGGUAAUACGUAGGGGGCAAGCGUUAUCCGGAUUUACUGGGUGUAAAGGGAGCGUAGACGGCAGCACAAGUCUGGAGUGAAAUCCCGGGGCUUAACCCCGGAACUGCUGUGGAAACUGUGCGGCUGGAGUGCAGGAGGGGUAAGCGGAAUUCCUAGUGUAGCGGUGAAAUGCGUAGAUAUUAGGAGGAACACCGGUGGCGAAGGCGGCUUACUGGACUGUAACUGACGUUGAGGCUCGAAAGCGUGGGGAGCAAACAGGAUUAGAUAAACGAGUAGUC